This 1197-nucleotide long non-coding RNA is filed under the name Piliocolobus tephrosceles (Ugandan red Colobus). RNAcentral's name for it is "lncRNA (ENSPTEG00000016628.1)". The record is from RNAcentral. Lineage: Eukaryota; Metazoa; Chordata; Mammalia; Primates; Cercopithecidae.
AUGAUGGAGGAGACAUAUGGUAAUUACUACUAUGAACAGUUUAUAAAAAAUAUGUGGGAAAAUACAAGUAAAGAAGUAUUAAAAAAUCAUAAAUAUGAUAAUCAUAAUAAUAACAUUUAUAAUACAGUAGGAGGGUAUAAUAAUAACAUUUAUAAUACAGUAGGGGGAUCUAAUAAUUAUUCAAAAAUGUUAGGGAAUGUUUCUGUUUACGAAAAUAGUUUUGAUUAUAAUGAAAGAAAUUGUGAUCCAUAUAUAUAUUAUGAGGAUAAUGCAAUUAAUAAUAACAAUAAUAUGAGUAAUGUCAAAGAUAACAAUAUAAACUAUUUAAGUUUGAGCAACUCCUUAUACAUUUAUUGUUUUCUUUUUGUUAGUAUUUACCUUUUAGAUUCCAAUGAACAUUUAAUAUACAAACCUGAUACUGUUGUAAGUGAAAAUGAAGAAAUGGAAUUAGAUGGUGCUUGUAAAGUAGAUACAUGUGAUAAUUAUUUAAACUUGAAACAAGUGGAAGAUAAUUGUACUGAACAAGAAGAUUAUCAUACUUAUAAAAAAAAAAAAAUAAAAAAAAACAAAAAACAUUCUCAUAAAAAACAUGGCUUAUAUGAACAAGUAGAAAGUGAAGAUAAAGUUGAAUCAAUAAAAGGAAAGGAGAAUAUAACAAAUAAACAAAAUGAAGUAAGAAAACAUAAAGAACGAAUGAAAGAAAGUAAUGGUAGUAAAUAUCAAUCUGUAGAACCUGAAAUUAAAAGUGUGUUAGAUGGUGAUAAUGACAAUAUGUAUAAUAAAUUGAACAAAGAAUUGAACAAAGAAUUGAACAAAGAAUUGAACAAAGAAUUGAACAGAGAAUUGAACAAAGACAUAUAUCAAAAAAAUAUUUAUAAUAAUGAUGAUAACAUUAUUAUUAAAAAAAAAAGCAAUUACUCUACUAUAUAUGAUAAAAAUUAUGGGGAUUAUUAUGAAGGUGUAACAUAUGACAAUAAUUAUACCACUAGUACCACAUUUGUUAAUAAUAACAAUGACGACAGUGUAAUUACAAUAACAAUUACUACCACUAUGAUAAUUAUAACAAUUAUAAUAAUAAUAACUAUAAACAAAAUUAUAAAUAUAAUAAUUAUUACGAGAAUGAAAACAAGAACUACCUUAACUACAACGACAACGAAAAUUACGAAAAUUAUGAAAAUUACAAUAAUGAUAAUUUGA